UGCCAGCCGCCGCGGUAAGACAGAGGGUGCAACCGUUGUUCGGAAUUAUUGGGCGUAAAGCGUAUGUAGGUGGUUGGACAAGUCAGACGUGUAAACCCACGGCUCAACCGUGGAAUUGCGUUUGAAACUAUCUAACUUGAGUGCAGAAGAGGAAAGCGGAAUUUCCAGUGUAGCGGUGAAAUGCGUUGAUAUUGGGAAGAACACCUGUGGCGAAGGCGGCUUUCUGGUCUGCUACUGACACUGAGAUACGAAAGCCAGGGGAGCGAACGGGAUUAGAUA
Molecule: ribosomal RNA, 279 nt
Filed under: uncultured bacterium
Lineage: Bacteria
Description: partial 16S ribosomal RNA
Rfam family: Bacterial small subunit ribosomal RNA
Source: RNAcentral